UGCAGUCGAACGAUGAUGCCCAGCUUGCUGGGUGGAUUAGUGGCGAACGGGUGAGUAACACGUGAGUAACCUGCCCCUGACUCUGGGAUAAGCGUUGGAAACGACGUCUAAUACUGGAUAUGAUCACUGGCCGCAUGGUCUGGUGGUGGAAAGAUUUUUUGGUUGGGGAUGGACUCGCGGCCUAUCAGCUUGUUGGUGAGGUAAUGGCUCACCAAGGCGACGACGGGUAGCCGGCCUGAGAGGGUGACCGGCCACACUGGGACUGAGACACGGCCCAGACUCCUACGGGAGGCAGCAGUGGGGAAUAUUGCACAAUGGGCGAAAGCCUGAUGCAGCAACGCCGCGUGAGGGAUGACGGCCUUCGGGUUGUAAACCUCUUUUAGUAGGGAAGAAGCGAAAGUGACGGUACCUGCAGAAAAAGCACCGGCUAACUACGUGCCAGCAGCCGCGGUAAUACGUAGGGUGCAAGCGUUGUCCGGAAUUAUUGGGCGUAAAGAGCUCGUAGGCGGUUUGUCGCGUCUGCUGUGAAAUCCCGAGGCUCAACCUCGGGCUUGCAGUGGGUACGGGCAGACUAGAGUGCGGUAGGGGAGAUUGGAAUUCCUGGUGUAGCGGUGGAAUGCGCAGAUAUCAGGAGGAACACCGAUGGCGAAGGCAGAUCUCUGGGCCGUAACUGACGCUGAGGAGCGAAAGCAUGGGGAGCGAACAGGAUUAGAUACCCUGGUAGUCCAUGCCGUAAACGUUGGGCGCUAGAUGUAGGGACCUUUCCACGGUUUCUGUGUCGUAGCUAACGCAUUAAGCGCCCCGCCUGGGGAGUACGGCCGCAAGGCUAAAACUCAAAGGAAUUGACGGGGGCCCGCACAAGCGGCGGAGCAUGCGGAUUAAUUCGAUGCAACGCGAAGAACCUUACCAAGGCUUGACAUACACCGGAAACGGCCAGAGAUGGUCGCCCCCUUGUGGUCGGUGUACAGGUGGUGCAUGGUUGUCGUCAGCUCGUGUCGUGAGAUGUUGGGUUAAGUCCCGCAACGAGCGCAACCCUCGUUCUAUGUUGCCAGCGGGUUAUGCCGGGGACUCAUAGGAGACUGCCGGGGUCAACUCGGAGGAAGGUGGGGAUGACGUCAAAUCAUCAUGCCCCUUAUGUCUUGGGCUUCACGCAUGCUACAAUGGCCGGUACAAAGGGCUGCGAUACCGUAAGGUGGAGCGAAUCCCAAAAAGCCGGUCUCAGUUCGGAUUGAGGUCUGCAACUCGACCUCAUGAAGUCGGAGUCGCUAGUAAUCGCAGAUCAGCAACGCUGCGGUGAAUACGUUCCCGGGCCUUGUACACACCGCCCGUCAAGUCAUGAAAGUCGGUAACACCCGAAGCCGGUGGCCUAACCCUUGUGGAAGGAGCCGUCGAAGGUGGGAUCGGUGAUUAGGACUAAGU
This 1419-nucleotide ribosomal RNA is filed under the name Curtobacterium sp. b163. RNAcentral's name for it is "bacterial SSU rRNA". It matches the Rfam family "Bacterial small subunit ribosomal RNA". Lineage: Bacteria; Bacillati; Actinomycetota; Actinomycetes; Micrococcales; Microbacteriaceae. The record is from RNAcentral.